This 76-nucleotide non-coding RNA is filed under the name Pseudobutyrivibrio sp. OR37. Its description in RNAcentral is "GEMM cis-regulatory element". It matches the Rfam family "c-di-GMP-I riboswitch aptamer". Rfam says of the family: GEMM was predicted in a large-scale screen for bacterial structured RNA regulatory elements. Lineage: Bacteria; Bacillati; Bacillota; Clostridia; Lachnospirales; Lachnospiraceae. The record is from RNAcentral.
AAGUGAAUAGGGCAAACUCCACGAAAGUGGGGGACGCAAAACUCUAGAGCCUGUAAAAUGGCAGUCAGUUGCUUAA